This 524-nucleotide ribosomal RNA is filed under the name Yuhina nigrimenta. RNAcentral describes it as "partial 16S ribosomal RNA". It matches the Rfam family "Bacterial large subunit ribosomal RNA", at positions 1843 to 2574 of the family's 2925-position model. The record is from RNAcentral. Lineage: Eukaryota; Metazoa; Chordata; Aves; Passeriformes; Timaliidae.
GUAUUGAAGGUGAUGCCUGCCCGGUGACGAUGUUUAACGGCCGCGGUAUCCUGACCGUGCAAAGGUAGCGCAAUCAAUUGUCCCAUAAAUCGGGACCCGUAUGAAUGGCUAAACGAGGUCUUAACUGUCUCUUACAGGCGAUCGGUGAAAUUGAUCUCCCUGUACAAAAGCAGGGAUAACCACAUAAGACGAGAAGACCCUGUGGAACUUCAAAAACAGCAGCCACCCCAAAUAACAUACUCACCCAACUCGGGCUCACUUCUCCCACGGGUAAUUGGCCUGCAUUUUUUCGGUUGGGGCGACCUUGGAGCAAAACAAAACCUCCAAAUUUUGGACCAUCAAUCCAGACUAAGAGCAACCUCUCAACGUGCUAACAGCAACCAGAUCCAAUAUAAUUGAUCAAUGGACCAAGCUACCCCAGGGAUAACAGCGCAAUCUCCUCCAAGAGUCCAUAUCGACGGGGAGGUUUACGACCUCGAUGUUGGAUCAGGACAUCCUAGUGGUGCAGCCGCUACUAAGGGUUC